Molecule: ribosomal RNA, 484 nt
Filed under: uncultured bacterium
Lineage: Bacteria
Description: partial 16S ribosomal RNA
Rfam family: Bacterial small subunit ribosomal RNA
Source: RNAcentral
AUUGAACGCUGGCGGCAGGCCUAACACAUGCAAGUCGAGCGGAUGAAGGGAGCUUGCUCCUGGAUUCAGCGGCGGACGGGUGAGUAAUGCCUAGGAAUCUGCCUGGUAGUGGGGGAUAACGUCCGGAAACGGGCGCUAAUACCGCAUACGUCCUGAGGGGGUAAGUGGGUGAUCUUCGGACCUCACGCUAUCAGAUGAUCCUAUGUCGGAUUAGCUAGUUGGUUGGGUAAAGGCUUACCAAGGCGACGAUCCGUAACUGGUAUGAGAGGAUGAUCAGUCACACUGGAACUGAGAAACGGUCCAGACUCCUACGGGAGGCAGCAGUGGGGAAUAUUGGACAAUGGGCGAAAGCCUGAUCCAGCAAUGCCGCGUGUGUGAAGAAGGUCUUCGGAUUGUAAAGCACUUUAAGUGGGGAGGAAGGGCAGUAAGUUAAUACCUUGCUGUUUUGACGUUACCAACAGAAUAAGCAACGGCUAACUUCGUG